AUUGAACGCUGGCGGCAUGCCUAAUACAUGCAAGUCGAGCGAGCGGCGGACGGGUGAGCAGUGUCUGGAAAACUGCCUGAUGGAGGGGGAUAACUACUGGAAACGGUAGCUAAUACCGCAUACCACCCGAUGUGCCCAGAUGGGAUUAGCUAGUAGGUGGGGUAAUGGCUCACCAAGGCGACGCUCCCUAGCUGGUCUGAGAGGAAGACCAGCCACACUGGAACUGAGACCAGGUCCAGACUCCUACGUGAGGCAGCAGUAGGGAAUCUUGGGCAAUGGACGCAAGCCUGACGGAGCGAUGCCGCGUGUGUGAAGAAGGUUUUCGGUUUGUAAAGCACUUUCGGCGGGGAAGCGUUACCCGAAGAAGAAGCCCCGGCUAACUCCGUGCCAGCAGCCGCGGUAAUUC
RNAcentral lists this ribosomal RNA (406 nucleotides) under uncultured bacterium. RNAcentral describes it as "partial 16S ribosomal RNA". It matches the Rfam family "Bacterial small subunit ribosomal RNA", at positions 30 to 526 of the family's 1533-position model. The record is from RNAcentral.